AAAUGCAGUUGGGACUGUUGUUCAGUGACUAGCUAUUUGAUUAGGCCCUGUAGUCAUAUUUAAUCCAGACCCUUGGGGAGCAUAGACAAAAUUACAUCUUCAUCUCAUCAAACAUUCAGCCAUAUUUAAGCAUUCAGCUGAUCAAGCUUUUAUUGUUUCUCUUGCAGCUACACAGACACAAUGAUGUCCUGUGUUCUUCACUCCAUAACCCUGCAAAGCUAAGCCUAAACUUGCUGCGUUCCUUUUUUUUCCCUCUUUUUUUAAUUCUCAGGGACAGGGAGUACAGUGCAGCUCUAAUACCCUGCUCUGGCUACAGUGCCAUGGUUAGAUAUUCACAUCGGCUUUGCCACACUUGUUUGUUUCUCUUUUCAGCUUUAUUCUUUUUUUUUUUUCUUUUUUUUCUUUUUUUUCUUUUUCUUUUGUGCCAGCUACUCAGAGCUCUGGUCGUUUGCUAGGACAGGUCUAAAUCAUUAAACUGCAAACUGUUCUUUUUCUGUUAAGCAGCAGGUAUCAUUUUUGUCCUGACAAGAGGAGGCUCCACCUGCCGACUGCCCACCAACGCAUCCAGCUGUCUGCUUUGCAGAACAGGCAAGCUUGUUUUCAGAAUUUGAAAAACGGAGAUACAAAGGGAGCUGUGGCAGCUGAAUUCCCUUUCAUGUGUGUCCAGUCCAGGUGAAGCCCAGCAUAAUGUACUGUAAUAUGUCUCUUCAGUUCUCUGAUACAAUGACCUGUGCAUCCUCUAAAUCCCCCACAGAAUGCGCAGACACAGACUGAUUGAGAACUUCCUGUGAGGGAGAUUACAGAUUCAUCAAGGAAGAGUCCUUCAUGCAAAUACCAUCUGCUCCAGGACUCAGCUUUACGGAGGGUGAGAGGACUCUUUGCUAACACACAAAAGACUGAGGUGGAGAAACCUACCCAAGAAGGCUGAGAUAAAGAGACAGCUCUCAUAGCUGGAACUAUAAUAGCCCAUCUUCUGCAGUCGUGUUGGUACGCUGGUGUACCUGUGUCGGUGGGUAAA
Long non-coding RNA from Aquila chrysaetos chrysaetos, 1018 nucleotides. RefSeq lists it as uncharacterized. The transcript is spliced from 3 exons. The record is from RefSeq and is a predicted model, not a curated record. Lineage: Eukaryota; Metazoa; Chordata; Aves; Accipitriformes; Accipitridae.